UGGCUGUCAUGCCGUCAGAGUCUGCCGCCAUGGCCGCCAGUCUCCUAGCUGCUGUGGUUGGGGGUCUGCUGUGUAUGGUCACUGGAAAACCUCUGCCACCGGAGUUGCCUUGAAACACCAUCGGAGUCUGACAGCACCACUGCCGGAGUUCUGAGGCCACCGGAACCACCGCCAGAGCUUCUGGCUACUUUUGCCGUUGCCGAAAAAGUUGCCGUUGAUCCACCGGAGUUUUUGGCCGCUGCCGAAGCUGUUGCUACCGUCGGUUCGAAAUCGCAGCUGCUUCGUGUUGUCAUUUCGCUUGGGGCCGAGGUUGCGGUUGUUGGUGAUCCCGAUUUAAGAAAGGAGGUUCCUGUGACGCGUUUGGGUUAUGGAAUUGCGUUCUAAGGAUAUGGGCACAGAAGUCACGAAGAGUUUAUUUUUUUGUUAUUGAGAUGCUCUGUAUUGCUUUAGAUUAUUAUUUUUGUACCCUCACCUUUAUCUUGAUAUAUUCUGUAAGAGGGAUAGGAAUUGUAUUGGGUAAUGUUUGUAAUAUUAUUUGUAUAUAUGUAUGUAUAUAUAUAUGGAUGUACUCUUUAUGAGUUUCUGUAA
Long non-coding RNA from Arachis duranensis, 588 nucleotides. RefSeq lists it as uncharacterized. The transcript is spliced from 4 exons. NCBI's taxonomy places the organism in Eukaryota, Viridiplantae, Streptophyta, Magnoliopsida, Fabales, Fabaceae. The record is from RefSeq and is a predicted model, not a curated record.